This is a non-coding RNA of Malus domestica (apple), 1574 nucleotides long. The record is from RefSeq and is a predicted model, not a curated record. NCBI's taxonomy places the organism in Eukaryota, Viridiplantae, Streptophyta, Magnoliopsida, Rosales, Rosaceae.
UGAGAAAGAAAGAGGAAAGUAAUAAAGGAAUGGAGAUAAAUUUGGGGCACUUGGCGUUUGACAUUGAUUUUCAUCCAUCGCAGCAGUUGGUCACUACUGGUCUUAUCAAUGGCGACCUUCACUUGUACCGAUACACAUCUGAUUCCGUACCACAAAGGGUGUUGGAAGUUCAUGCACACAGUGAAUCUUGCAGAGCUGUUCGGUUCAUCAACAAUGGCCAAGCUAUUUUGACGGGAUCUCCCGACUGCUCAAUUCUUGCUACGGAUGUGGAAACUGGUGCUUCUAUUGCUCGCCUGGACGAGGCUCACGGGUCUGCGGUCAAUAAGCUUAUCAAUUUGACCGAGUCCACGGUGGCCUCUGGUGAUGACGAAGGCUGUAUUAAGGUGUGGGACACCAGGCAACAAUCUUGCUGCAAUACUUUUAAAGCUCAUGAAGAGUACAUUUCCGAUAUGACUUUUGCAGCUGAUUCCAUGAAACUCCUAGGAACUAGUGGAGAUGGGACUCUUUCUGUUUGCAAUCUUCGAAGAAAUAAAGUUCAAGCUCAAUCUGAAUUUUCAGAAGAGGAGCUACUGUCCGUGGUUAUCAUGAAGAAUGGUCGGAAAGUUGUUUGCAGCUCACAUAUUGGGAAUCUAUUAUUGUAUUCAUGGGGCUGUUUCAAGGAUUGCAGUGAUCGAUUUGUUGAUCUCUCUCCGAAUUCUGUGGAUGUUUUGUUGAAGCUUGAUGAAGAUAGGUUGAUCACUGGAUCGGAAACUGGACUUAUCAGCCUAGUAGGUAUAUUACCCAACAGAGUCAUCCAACCUAUUGCAGAACACUCAGACUAUCCAGUUGAGGGUCUCGCUUUCUCCUAUGAUAAAAAGUUUCUGGGAAGUAUAGCACAUGAUCAGAUGUUGAAGCUAUGGGAUAUGGAUGAAUUAUUGCAAGGUUCUACAAAUACAUCAAGGCCUCAAGCAGCUGCAGAGGACAGCGAUAGUGACGAUAUGGAUAUGGAUAUGAAUCCUCCGAAGUCUAACAAAGGUACAAAGAAGAAAAAUGCAAGCAAAGAUCGUGUUUCGGGAAGUUCAAAUGAUUUUUUUGCUGAUUUACAGAUGGAGGGUUGAGUACGGUUUUUCAACUUUGGUACGACACUUUUCAUGGACAAACAAAAUACCUAUAGUUUAUGUUAACUUUAUCAUGUGUGGGAGGGAGGGUUUUUUUAUUUAGUUGUCGAAACAAUCUGAUGAAUCUGGAGUUGUAAAAAUAUCCGCUGGCAAAGAUUUCUCCGUCGAGUAUUGCCAUCAGUUUAAAUCUCUUCUUGAGUUCUGGCUGCACCAUGCACACAAUAAUGAAAGGAAUACUCCGAACAGACUAGUACGACAUGGCCGGACAUGGAGGUUAACUCGAGUCGAUUCAAGCGAGCACAAUCCGGUCAAAUGUGACCGAAAUUCGAGCGUUAAUACCUUGAUCCUGAAACCAGGAACUUGAAAAAAGCUCUGUUUUAUUGUUUUUGUAGGCUCGGGUUACACAAAACUGAAAUUUUUGUUUUUCCUCAUUUGUUGGGUCGGGUUAUGGCCCAACGUCUUACUCAUUCUUACUCA